This is a non-coding RNA of Oncorhynchus mykiss (rainbow trout), 616 nucleotides long. NCBI's taxonomy places the organism in Eukaryota, Metazoa, Chordata, Actinopteri, Salmoniformes, Salmonidae. The record is from RefSeq and is a predicted model, not a curated record.
CCCCCCCCCCCCCCCCCCCACACAGAGAGAGUCAUAGAGGAGGGAGGCUGCUCCCCCACAGAGAGAGUCAUAUAGAGGAGAGGAGGGAGGCUGCCCCCCACAGAGAGAGUCAUAUAGGGUAGAGGAGGGAGGCUGCCCCCCACAGAGAGAGUCAUAUAGGUUAGAGGAGGGAGGCUGCCCCCCACAGAGAGAGUCAUAUAGAGGAGGGAGGUUGCCCACCCACACAGAGAGUCAUAUAGAGGAGAGGAGGGAGGCUGCCCCACACAGAGAGAGUCAUAUAGAGGAGGGAGGCUGCCCCCCACAGAGAGAGUCAUAUAGAGGAGAGGAGGGAGGCUGCCCCACACAGAGAGAGUCAUAUAGAGGAGGGAGGCUGCCCCCCAUAGAGAGAGUCAUAUAGAGGAGAGGAGGGAGGCUGCCCCACACAGAGAGAGUCAUAUAGAGGAGGGAGGCUGCUCCCCCACAGAGGCUCUAGACGUCUCUAGACUAUUGACAUGGAGAGGAGGAGGCGUCUCUAGACUAUUGACAUGGAGAGGAGGAGGCGUCUCUAGACUAUUGACAUGGAGAGGAGGAAGCGUCUCUAGACUAUUGACAUGGAGAGGGGGAAGCGUCUCUAGAC